This 522-nucleotide ribosomal RNA is filed under the name uncultured Bordetella sp. Its description in RNAcentral is "bacterial SSU rRNA". It matches the Rfam family "Bacterial small subunit ribosomal RNA", at positions 1019 to 1533 of the family's 1533-position model. The record is from RNAcentral. Lineage: Bacteria; Pseudomonadati; Pseudomonadota; Betaproteobacteria; Burkholderiales; Alcaligenaceae.
CAAGAGAACCGGAACACAGGUGCUGCAUGGCUGUCGUCAGCUCGUGUCGUGAGAUGUUGGGUAAGUCCCGCAACGAGCGCAACCCNUGUCAUUAGUUGNUACGAAAGGGCACUCUAAUGAGACUGCCGGUGACAAACCGGAGGAAGGUGGGGAUGACGUCAAGUCCUCAUGGCCCUUAUGGGUAGGGCUUCACACGUCAUACAAUGGUCGGGACAGAGGGUCGCCAACCCGCGAGGGGGAGCCAAUCCCAGAAACCCGAUCGUAGUCCGGAUCGCAGUCUGCAACUCGACUGCGUGAAGUCGGAAUCGCUAGUAAUCGCGGAUCAGCAUGUCGCGGUGAAUACGUUCCCGGGUCUUGUACACACCGCCCGUCACACCAUGGGAGUGGGUUUUACCAGGAGUAGUUAGCCUAACCGUAAGGGGGGCGAUUACCACGGUAGGACUCAUGACUGGGGUGAAGUCGUAACAAGGUAGCCGUAUCGGAAGGUGCGGCUGGAUCACCUCCUUAAGCUUGGAUCCCGGG